UGAGCGAUCUGGGAGGCUCGCAACUCUAGGACCCCAGGUGCGCGCGAAGAGGUGGGGCCACUAGGCGAGGUCACCAGCGUCGGGCGGAACGUGUCCUCCUGUCCGCCUCCAGCAGCGUCUGUGUCAAUCUAGAUCCUGGCUUCUGGGUUCCUGACCUCGCCUGGCCACAGCACCGUCAGUGCAACUUUGCGAUUGUCUCUUGGCCUGCUGUGGGAAGGCUCCCACUUGUAAAAUCGGACCAAUAGCCUACCCUAGUUUUGCCUCCCUGAGGGCAUCAGCGCGGGUGGUGCUUCCCGCCUGGAGGCUCUGGGGAAAAGCAUACAUGUUUUGAUCACACCUUUUACCGAGGGAGCCUUUAGGUCCCCAGGGCUUUCUCCUGUAACCUGCUUAUCAGCCCUAAGGAACCUGCUUAUCAGCCCUAAGGGGGGAAGUUCAAGGGUCCGGAUAUUCUCAUCUAGCCAGGAAAAGCACUGCAUUGUCUCCGUCCUCAAAAAGCUCAUCAUCAAAAUAAGGAGAGGAAAUAAUGCAACCACAUAAAUACAAGCAAAAGGCUAAACUACAUAGAAAUUAAAAACAGCAAUAAGAAUUUACAGAACUUCCCUGAAAGCUUUGGCUUUCAGCCACAGGCCACCUGAAGAUACAGAUACUGGACAAUGGCCAGUGAUAUAUCUUCCCAGAGACCUUGGAUGGCUGAUGGUUCCAGGAGGGCAGAGAGACUUCCUCUGUCAUCAUUUCAGCCAAGGAAAGAAAUCAGUGGCAGUCUGAGACUCACAGGUCCAGACAGAUGGGCUACGUAUCGUUUCUAUUAACUGAGGAGACAGAGAAGAAUUGAGGACUGAAGCAUGUCAUCACUGUCCUGAAUGUACUGAAAUCCUAACAGCUUUAGCUGAAAAAAUGUCCAAAGCAGGCAGUGAAAAUAAAUUUAAAAUAGGACAAACUCUAAACUGUCUGUGCUAGAAUCCCAAGGCAGGCAGGGAAAACUGGCUCCUUGGAGGAAGGCAGUCAAAGAAUUAAGUAGAGUGACCUAGACCCUGUUCCAGUAUGUUUGAAGUACUUGGGGAUGGAGUAACCCCUUUCCUUUAUUCAUCUACAUAGGUCCAUGAGCCACGAGGACAUAACUCCCCAUGUGAAGGUCCUCAAUACAAGACAUCUAACUUCAUGACGUCAAUCCUUUCUCGGAGGCGGGGGAGGGCGAAGGUUAAAGAAUCUGAAAUGGUGGGCCUAUAUUCGAGUCCAAGUUCUGAGAACAGCUUUGAAGAAGAGUUCCUGACAGUGAGGAGGAGCGGAAGCAGCAAGGGCCCUUGGAAUCAGGCUAGGUUUGAAUUCUGGCUGUCACUUCCUGGUAAAGUGACUUGAGUGACAGCUCGGAGUCUCAGUAUCAUUUACCUCAUGAGGCCAUCCAAGGAUUAAAUGAAAAGAGCCUGUGCGAAGCAGCUCGCAUAAGGCGGGGCACAGAGUCGGUGCUUAGUGCUAAUGAUGUCUGUCCUGGGCAGUGAGCAGAAAGCCUGGUGCUGCCCAGAGGUGGCAUGGCCAGUAGCUCCAGAAAUGUGGUACUGUCAUAGGGAAAAGGAGUUCUUUGCUCCACAGGUCCUAUUCCAGCUAGAGACCAACUCCAAGCGACAACUCACAAAACGACAAAUAGUCAUCAUUCAGCACUUAGUCCAAGGGAAUGUGGAGCUGCGUGACUCGCAGAGCUCCUAAGUGGUCCUGCCACCUCUUCACGGUGAGCCUAGGCAAAUUGCCCAACAUCUCUGAGUUCCAAUUUCCUCUUCCCCAAAGCGGGGAUAACAAUACCUACAUUGCAAGAGCUGUUGGAAAACUG
Molecule: long non-coding RNA, 1822 nt
Organism: Mustela erminea (ermine)
Lineage: Eukaryota; Metazoa; Chordata; Mammalia; Carnivora; Mustelidae
Exons: 4
Source: RefSeq, a predicted model, not a curated record